AGUGAACGCUGGCGGUAGGCCUAACACAUGCGAGUCGAACGGCAGCACAGUAAGAGCUUGCUCUUACGGGUGGCGAGUGGCGGACGGGUGAGGAAUACAUCGGAAUCUACUUUUUCGUGGGGGAUAACGUAGGGAAACUUACGCUAAUACCGCAUACGACCUACGGGUGAAAGCAGGGGAUCUUCGGACCUUGCGCGAUUGAAUGAGCCUAUGUCGGAUUAGCUAGUUGGCGGGGUAAAGGCCCACCAAGGCGACGAUCCGUAGCUGGUCUGAGAGGAUGAUCAGCCAAACUGGAACUGAGACACGGUCCAGACUCCUACGGGAGGCAGCAGUGGGGAAUAUUGGACAAUGGGCGCAAGCCUGAUCCAGCCAUACCGCGUGGGUGAAGAAGGCCUUCGGGUUGUAAAGCCCUUUUGUUGGGAAAGAAAAGCAGCAGGUUAAUACCCCGCUGUUCUGACGGUACCCAAAGAAUAAGCACCGGCUAACUUCGUG
This 492-nucleotide ribosomal RNA is filed under the name uncultured bacterium. RNAcentral's name for it is "partial 16S ribosomal RNA". It matches the Rfam family "Bacterial small subunit ribosomal RNA", at positions 29 to 507 of the family's 1533-position model. The record is from RNAcentral.